RNAcentral lists this long non-coding RNA (757 nucleotides) under Mus spretus (western wild mouse). RNAcentral describes it as "lncRNA (ENSMSPG00010050479.1)". The record is from RNAcentral. Lineage: Eukaryota; Metazoa; Chordata; Mammalia; Rodentia; Muridae.
AGAGGGCGCCAAAGGCGACGCGCUGGCGGCCAGCUCCAAGCCAACCAGGCCCAUUGCGUCCGUCUGCAGGAACCUGUCUCUUCACCCUGCUUUGGACACUGAGCUUCGGAGGAUCUGGCUGCGAGCUGAUUCAACGCCAGGGCGCCGCCUAGAGGUCGGUCGCGUCCUCGGUCUCGCUCACCCACCACAGAGCUGCUUGUCCAAGCCACAGUGUCAGACUUAAACAAAACAAAACAAAAUUCCUGCUUGGAUCAGAGACUUGGCUUCUGGGACCGUUGACUUAUCAGAAACUUGCCUCCUCUCUGCUUCAUAACGAACCCCAGGAAGAGAGAGGGACCAGGAUUCUCAAAGAAAUAUUUGUCCUUGUGGCACCGACUAGGUGGAAGAAAAGUCUCAACAUGACAAGAGGGGAUAUAAAUUGUUUGAAGUUCAUCAGCACGGUGAAGUUUUAUUGUAUUUCCGGUCCCUAAAAGAGAAGCCGGCAGCCAGGCAGACUCCCUCCUUAUCUCCGAGUUUCCACGCUAGGGACACACACGUGGCCAAGCGGACACUUGCCUUCGGGAGCAGGGAGGGAGGGAGCCGGCUCCGACCGACUCUCCCUCACUGGCUCAGUUCUACUUGGCUCCACUCUCCUGUCUACUCCCCUGUCUCAAGGCUGGGGUUGCCUUAGAGUUGGAUAUCUGAGAGCUGCCUGGGAGUCUGGGUAACCCUGGAGCCCAGGGACUGGCCAGAUGGUGAGUGUGUGCGAAUCUUCCUA